RNAcentral lists this long non-coding RNA (1100 nucleotides) under Panax ginseng (ginseng). RNAcentral describes it as "long non-coding RNA (PGIN_LNC000570)". The record is from RNAcentral. Lineage: Eukaryota; Viridiplantae; Streptophyta; Magnoliopsida; Apiales; Araliaceae.
GUCAAUUACCCGUAUACAUAUAUGUUGAAUUACAUAUUAUUGUUGAGCAAGAUUAAAAACCUUCGGGUUUGGAACCAGGCAUGUAUGAACAUCCCGAUAAUGGGAAAAUUUUUAUGCGCUUCGGCGGACAAAGGGUGAGCGAUGAAUUUCGUUCAAGUUAUGUAGUAUUGAUCAAUACAGGGUACAACGGGGCUGAUCACCCUCCGUGCCCGUAAGUUAUGACGGUUUGCGGAUGAAUUUCUGCUAAACCUUUUCGAAAAUGAAAAACCAUGUUCAUAGUAUGUUUCUUAAACCCUAUUCAUGGGUGGAGCCUAAUUUCAAGAAAUUGAAAGAGAGUUGUUAUGUGAAUUUUUUAUCAGUACAGAUUACUUCACAACUUUCGAUUCGUUGUAGAAGUGUUAUGUAAAGAGAAUACUUAUAUUCUUUCAGCUUAUAUAUAUAAUUGCUAUUACUUGCUGGGCACUCAAAUGCUCAUCCUUGCUUAAACUAAAUGUUUUCAGUUACGUACGAUCGACCUGAAGGCUCAGGCACGAACAAGGGAAAAGAAAAGCUGUUCGAAUGAGAUUUAGUAUGAGUUAAUGGUUAUAGUUAGUAAGACAAUGGAAUCUAUUGUCAGGUAUUGUAAGGAAUGUAUUUGAAGGUCACGUACCUGGGGAAGUAAACUUUGAUGUAUGUAAAUUAAGUUCGAAUGUAUUAUUAUUUAGUAUUAUUCAGCUUAAAGAAAUGGUAUCGUGGAGAACCGAGUUCGGGUUUCAAGUACCCGGAUUUGGGGUCGCCACAGGUUGGUAUCAAAGCUGUAGGUUAUAAACGUUAGGAAUACGAAACCUAGGUUAUAACCUUAGUAGAAUAAAGGACGAAAGUUAAGAUAGAUAUUCAGUGAACCAUGAGAUGAAGUACUCUGGUGAGAAGUUAUAGGAUAUGAUGAGUCGAAGAGAUUCAUCAAGUGGUACUAAAUAAAAUAUUCCUUCAUUUUAUCGAUGAAUAUAUUUUAUUUCGGUACUAAUGUUGUCUCGUUUAUUGUGGUCAUAAGAUGAAUGACAAAAGUCAAGAUAGUAAUUCCUUGACCCAAGAGACGAUGGACUCUAACGAGGAGUACACAG